Molecule: ribosomal RNA, 464 nt
Filed under: uncultured bacterium
Lineage: Bacteria
Description: partial 16S ribosomal RNA
Rfam family: Bacterial small subunit ribosomal RNA
Source: RNAcentral
CCUACGGGUGGCUGCAGUGGGGAAUAUUGCGCAAUGGGCGAAAGCCUGACGCAGCGACGCCGCGUGAGGGAUGAAGGUCUUCGGAUCGUAAACCUCUGUCAGCAGGGAAGAACGGUCACUGUGCUAAUCAGCAGUGAAUUGACGGUACCUGCAAAGGAAGCACCGGCUAACUCCGUGCCAGCAGCCGCGGUAAUACGGAGGAUGCGAGCGUUAUCCGGAUUUAUUGGGUUUAAAGGGUGCGCAGGCGGUCUGUUAAGUCAGCGGUCAAAGCCCGGGGCUCAACCCCGGCCCGCCGUUGAAACUGGCAGUCUCGAGUUGGAGAGAAGUAUGCGGAAUGCGCGGUGUAGCGGUGAAAUGCAUAGAUAUCGCGCAGAACUCCGAUUGCGAAGGCAGCAUGCCGGCUCCACACUGACGCUGAGGCACGAAAGCGUGGGUAUCGAACAGGAUUAGAUACCCUAGUAGUC